Herpailurus yagouaroundi (jaguarundi) is the source of this 3833-nucleotide long non-coding RNA. RefSeq lists it as uncharacterized. The transcript has 4 exons. The record is from RefSeq and is a predicted model, not a curated record. Lineage: Eukaryota; Metazoa; Chordata; Mammalia; Carnivora; Felidae.
CGGGAAGCUACUCCCACGUCUGCGAUGCACUAGGCCAGCAGGGCUGGCCGGGGCUCACUAGGGUGGGACGUGGUCACCUUUGGGUGUGGCCCCUGCCCCAAGGCUGAGCCCGGGGUCCUGGGAGCCUCCGCCUGGGCUCUGAGGUGCUGCUGAUUCAGUGCAUUUCAGUUAGGCAGGAAGUUCCUGAGAGGAAAACCACAAGCUUUAUGUUUAUUUAAUUCCAGCCAUUCUGUGGUUUUUGGAGAUGGCCUUUAAAGAUUUGUUUUUGAUUUUUAUCUCAAAGAGAAUGCAGAAAAGCCCAUGGGUCGGGCUCCAGAGAAAAUACACACAAAGAAGAGAAGUGAAUUUGGAUCUCACCAGGCAGCUUUCGGGCUCCGGCUGCCUGGGCCAUGGCCAGUGGGAGCCUGUCCUGGGGGCGUCCUUCCUUGUUGUCCGGGACUCCGGUGUUGAGAUCCUCCGCCCGUCCCCUCUGUCCUGGUGCCUCUGGCAGACGCGGAUUUGAGAAAGUACACGCUUCCGUGGGUGCCUACGUCUACCACCGCUCCCACCAGAGCCAUGAGUUCGCUGAUGCCUCGGCUCCACCGCGUCCACAGGCUCGUUUGGGUUUUCCGUGUCGGAGCCUGUGGCUCCUGUCUCCACAGCGCGGAUCCCCCCUGUGCUGCUCAGAGCCCUGCUGCCACGAUGCCCGUGUGACUGCCAGUCCGGGGGCGGGGGCGGGGGGACCUCGUGCCCACCCUCUGUGGCUUUAGGGUUGCUCCUUCUGGGAAGGGCAGAGCGGUCUGCCCUGGCCUCCGCUCAGGGCCAGCAGGGAGGUGGAGGGGAGCCUGGUUCCACCACCAGCUCUGGGUAUGGUCGUGUCCACCCACAUCCCCUCGGGACGGGGGCUGAGACGCCGGCUGUCCCGUUGGAGCCGGGUCGCGGCUGUGAAGACGCAGUGGGGCGCCUGGUGAGCCCUUGUGGCUGGGGUGCUGCGUGUGUUCACGUCUAGGACCGCAGAAUGAGCGGCGUUCGCCUGGGCGUCGGCUUCCGCUCCUGCAGCUGCGUGAUGCCCACCCCGAGGCCGCCGGCCUGCACACCCGUGAGACCCUCGGGCUGACACGGCUACUCCUGCUCCGCUGUGCCGGCAGCCACUGCGGCCACUGGGACGCGUGCCGGUCACUGUCCUCUGCUCUCUGGUCACCACACGCCCCGUCCCCGGUGCUGUGGGUGGCGGACCCGCAUCUGUAGCUCCUCUGAGCUUCUGGUGCCUCCUGCGCAUUUCCUUCGUGGAGCCUCCUGUGUGUCCUGGCGACCGGUGGAAAUCGUGUUUGCGCCGAACAAGCCAGAGGUGGUUUCUUGCUACAGCAGGGGGGACCCGUUCCACAUCCUGUGACAGGGACGGAGGAGGGGGUGUCCCUGGCCAAUGGAGGGCUCGUGGACGCUGGGCCCACCGUGGACUCAGGAAUUUCUGUUUGUCCUUAGGGUCUUAUUACCUUCCUGGGGCUGCCCUAACGAAGCCACAGACUCAGGGCUCAAACCGCAGGCAUCCCUCUCAGCCUGCAGGCCGUAAGCCCUAAACUGAGGUGUCGCGGGGCCGUGCUGCCUUUGGGGGGGCACCCUGUGCAUCUUCCAGCCUCUGGUGGUGCCAGACAUACUCGCCGUCCCUUGGUUGGUGGAUGCGUCACCCCCUCUCUGCCUCCAGGGGCACACGGCGUUGCUCUCUUGUUGGGAUGGGACUCACCGACUCCAGCUGGUCACCGACUCCCUCUUACUGAUGGUGCCUGCAGUGGCCCUGUUUCCAACCCCAGGACGCCGUGGGGAUUGCACAGCAUCGGUGUGUCCGGAGCUGCUGGGCUCUUCUCCGUGGCUGCGUGAGAAGCCGUCGGGAGACUUUCAGGAUGUAAUCACAAAGGCCGGAACGAGGAGAAGGCACCCUCACAGACCAAGCGUGAUCUGAGCUCAGCACCUGGGCCCAGGACAUGGGAGUCGCCCAAACGUUCACGUGUUCCUGCGUUUGCUUUCUCCUUCUCACACCUGAAUCUGCAGAGUGGAAUAUGUCGGGCUGUGUUCCCCACACCAGGCUGUGCUGCCGCCGGGGCGGCCGUUCGUGUUGCUGCAACAAUACGUGGUCUCUAUUCUGCAGUCUGCAUUCACAGGUCUUCAGUUCUCUGUCUCGGGAAGGACUCCCACUUCUCCUGGGGGCCUUUCCGAGUACCUCACCUUCUUGCUUGCCAUCGUUGCCGGGGUCCCUCUGCCAUUCCAUCCUCCAACUGGUGACUUGGUGCAGCUAUGAGGACCUUUGGUUUUUGUGUGUUCGUUUUAGCCUUACUGAGUUCGUUUAUCCUUUGAGUCUGUUUCCUCCCUGUUGAUGGCCUGGUGCCACGCUCGCUGCCCGGUCGGGAGUCCCAUGUGGCUAAGCUCGCGUGUACAGAUGAGAUGAAAUGAGACCGAAGGCUCACGAUGCCGCCACAUUCGCCCCAUUUCCAGUGCUUGGCGGCCGCACGGCCUUGGCGGGUUUCCGACACUGAGCUUGUGGGACAUCCCUUCAUCGUGAAAAGUUUACUGCAUAUUACUGUUCCAGUGUUUUCCGGGUACAUCAGUGUAGCCUUUGCAAAUGGACACAGCUGGCUUUGGGCUCUGUUCUCGGGUCCCUGACGGGUUCCCCGUGUCUGACUGCAGCGGCUGAGGCCUCCAGGGCCGGGCUGGCGGGCGGUGAAGGCAAGCAUAGUCCUCAUCUUGCCCCUAAUGACACCAGCGUCUGCUUCAGUGAGGUGGAGACUUUAGAAAAGGCUACGUUGCUAUGUUAAGAAAGCGGCUGUCACUUCCUAUUUUCCCUACUGUUUGUACUUUUAUCAGGAGUGGGUGUUAAAUUUUGCCAGAGGCUUUUUGUGCACCUAUGGGGGGAAAGCAUGUGAUUUUUCUCUUCGGGUCUGUCAAGAGUGACUUUCACAAAUGGAUUUCCCAGCAACCAGGCGGCCGUGGCAUCUGGGCGUCAGUCCCGCACGUGGUCACCAUGUCUGUCUUCCCAUUGCACCUUCCAGUAGGGUCUGGGGGUCAGAGUUCCUGUUGCAGUGGGGCUCUGCCGGCUGGCCUUCCAGGAGGGGGCUGGGGUCAGCACUCGCUGGCGGGGGGCUCCACCGGCGGGCACAGUUUAGCGUGUGCCCCUCCGAUUCAGGGCGCCGGAACAACUGGGCAAGCUGUGACCAUCUGGUCCCUAGCCAUGUGGUGGAGUUCAUCUGUGGAGUCAUUAGGGCCCGUUUUUGUUGGGGGCUGCGGUUCGCUGGAGGCUUUUUUCUCCCGUGGAAUCGGUGUGGUUAGGGUCCCGCCCCCCACUGUAGCCGCUUCAUCUGGAAAUUCGCAUUUAUUGUGCUCCGCAAGAAAUGUCACUACGGCAUAGUUAUUCUAUGUCAUUUAUUCCUAGCGGGGCCAGAACUCGAGCCUCCUCUGCCACCCGGCGCCCGGCGCUUCCUGGGCCCUUGUGGGUGGGCGAGAGGCAGACUCCGCCUGCAGUCUGCACAGGCCGAGCCGAGCAACCGCGGCUCGAGAGGCACACGGGGUUCGCGGGGAGACCAGCUCGGCUCUGCUCGCUCUCCACUCGGCCUCGUGCCGGGCAGGGUGGCCUCGGGAACGCGGGUGGCCGCAGCGGAGCUUCCUGGGGAGGGGAGACGGCUGUGCCCAGGCACAGCCACAGGCCACUGCCACCGACAGCGCAUCUCUCGCGGCCGCACGGCGCUGCCUGCUGGAGGUUGUGCGCAGGCGCAGCUGCAGGCUCCCGCUGUUGGCUGCGAGUCUCCUCCGUUGCGCAGCCGCACUGUCCGCACGCCGCCGCCUGCUCGAGGCCGUGCGCAGGCGCA